This 439-nucleotide ribosomal RNA is filed under the name uncultured bacterium. RNAcentral describes it as "partial 16S ribosomal RNA". It matches the Rfam family "Bacterial small subunit ribosomal RNA", at positions 338 to 795 of the family's 1533-position model. The record is from RNAcentral.
CCUACGGGAGGCAGCAGUGGGGGAUAUUGCACAAUGGGGGAAACCCUGAUGCAGCGACGCCGCGUGGGUGAAGAAGCGCCUCGGCGCGUUAAGCCCUGUCAGCAGGGAAGAAAAUGACGGUACCUGUAGAAGAAGCCCCGGCUAACUACGUGACAGCAGCCGCGGUAAUACGUAGGGGGCAAGCGUUAUCCGGAUUUACUGGGUGUAAGGGGGGCGCAGACGGGGAUGCAAGCCAGGAGUGAAAGCCCGGGGCCCAACCCCGGGACGGCGCUUGGAACGGCGUGGCAAGAGUGCAGGAGGGGCAGGGGAAUGCCUGGUGUAGCGGUGAAAUGCGUAGAUAUCAGGAGGAACACCGGUGGCGAAGGCGGCCUGCUGGACUGCAACUGACGUUGAGGCCCGAAAGCGUGGGGAGCGAACAGGAUUAGAUACCCGUGUAGUC